Molecule: long non-coding RNA, 1772 nt
Filed under: Ananas comosus (pineapple)
Lineage: Eukaryota; Viridiplantae; Streptophyta; Magnoliopsida; Poales; Bromeliaceae
Description: long non-coding RNA (ACOM_LNC011422)
Source: RNAcentral
AAGUUUUGAUAACAUUGUUAUUUUUUUGUGACAAUUGUGUGUGUGUGUGUGUAUGCUAGGACUGCUAUACUCCUAUGAGUAUAUACUUUUUUACACUCAUAAAUUUUCGACUGUUGAAUAAAGGAAUGUGCGGUUAGAAUGAUAGUGAUUCCCGAUUAGAAUGAUAAUGAUUCUCUAGGGUUUAAUAGCUAAUUGAUUAAAUAGUAUGAUCUAACGGAUGGAAAUGUUCAACAGGAUAGAUUUAACCGUCGAAAAUUUAUGAGUACGAAGAUGUAUAUAUAUAUAUAUAUAGAGAGAGUUUGGAUGGUAUAGUGGUAUGCUUAUGGAAGCACGGAGGCCUCCGUGCUUCAAAGUUGUUUUUGAUGUUCGGACUUUUGAAUCGACGAUCGGCUCCAUUAGAGUUGAUCUAGAGUAUUUGAAGUACCUAGAAAAUAAAUUUUGCGAUUUUUCGAUAUCAUUUGCCUAGUGAUCGAAGGGGCUCAAAAUCAAUAAUUUUAAUGGCCGUGGUGAGCCGGUUGCAAGUUUAACGGUGUAGAAAUAUCCAAAUCACGUGAAAUUUUGAUAGAAAAUUCUUUAUACUAUAUAAAAUAAGAUCAAUAUCUUUGAUCUAAAUUUUUAAUGUCAUAUCAUCACAUUUUGUGAGAUUUUUAUUUUCAGCCGUUGAUUUUGAGCCCCUUCGAUCACUAGGCAAAUGAUAUCGAAAAAUCGCAAAAUUUAUUUUNNNNNGUGGUAGGUGGUGGUAGAUGGAAUAGUGUUUGAUCUAAAGGCUAUUAGUAAUCAAGAAGUGAAUCCAAUGGCUAAAAACUUAGAAGCACCAAGGGAUUGGUGCUUCUAAAAGUGUUCUAGCUCAAUUAUAUAUAUAUAUAUAUAUAUAUAUAUAUAUAUAUAUAUAUAUAUAUAUAUAUAGUACGUCUCCCGUACUUUUGAAAGUACGGAGACCUCCGUACUUGUAAGUUGUUUUCGAUGAUAGGACAUUCAAUUCGACGAUCCGCUCCGUUAGGCAUAAUCUAUACUAUUGAAAUGAGUUGAGCUAUGAUACUUUUACAAGUAUCACCAUCAUGGUGCUAUUAGGUUUUAAGCCAUUGGAUCUACUUUUUGAUUAUUAAUAGCCAUUGGAUUAAACACUAUUCCACCUACCACCAUCAUCUCAACCUCACAUCUCUCCAUUCAAGGGCUAAAAACACACAAGUAUCACCCCCAUGGUACUUUUACAAGUAUUCUAGCCCUACUCCUAUUGGAACUAUCUAGAAACCAAAUUUUAUAAUUUUUUGAUAUUAUUUACCAAACGAUCACAUGGUCUCAAAAAUGACUAUUUUAACGGCCGAUGUGGCACGUUUUUAAGUUCAACGGUGUAGAAGUAUCCAAAUUAAACUUUAAUAGAAAAUUCUACUUAACAUCAAGAGGAAGAACAAUACUUCCGAUUUAAAAUUUGAGUCAUUUAUCACUAUUUUUUAUGAGAUUUUUAUUUUCAGCCGUUCAUUUUGAGACUACUUGUUCACUAGGCAAACGAAGUAAAAAAAUUAUGAAAUUUGGUUUCUAGAUAGUUCUAAUAGUGUAGAUUAUGUUUAAUGGAACCGAUCGCCGAAUCGGACGUCCCAUCAUUGGAAACAACUUACAAGCACGGAGGCCUCCGUACUUUCAAACGCAUAGGAGCCUAGCUCUUUAUAUAUAUACACACACACAUGUACCGUUCAUGUAUUAUUAUCAAAUAAUCAAAUAAUGGUACUUAAUUUCCGAAUUUUUGACUAAACUACCUUGCUUCUUAAAAUUUU